AGCGAACGCUGGCGGCAGGCCUAACACAUGCAAGUCGAACGAACUCUUCGGAGUUAGUGGCGGACGGGUGAGUAACACGUGGGAACGUGCCUUUUGGUUCGGAAUAACUCAGGGAAACUUGUGCUAAUACCGAAUGUGCCCUUCGGGGGAAAGAUUUAUCGCCAUUAGAGCGGCCCGCGUCUGAUUAGCUAGUUGGUGAGGUAACGGCUCACCAAGGCGACGAUCAGUAGCUGGUCUGAGAGGAUGACCAGCCACACUGGGACUGAGACACGGCCCAGACUCCAACGGGAGGCAGCAGUGGGGAAUCUUGCGCAAUGGGCGAAAGCCUGACGCAGCCAUGCCGCGUGAAUGAUAAAGGUCUUAGGAUUGUAAAAUUCUUUCACCGGGGACGAUAAUGACGGUACCCGGAGAAGAAGCCCCGGCUAACUUCGUG
Molecule: ribosomal RNA, 433 nt
Filed under: uncultured bacterium
Lineage: Bacteria
Description: partial 16S ribosomal RNA
Rfam family: Bacterial small subunit ribosomal RNA
Source: RNAcentral